GAAUGUGUAUAUUGCAGGAAAGCUAGAUUUUGCAAAUUACUUGAGAGAGAAAGAUUUAGGACUUCCUUGCUUUCCUGUGGUGAGCCAUGCAGAAUUACCAAGCCACUGUUCAUGUUAGCAGAGACAGAAUCUCUUUGGGUGCAAAGAUGACCUUCAAGAAUACAUCACUCACACUGUAUUAUGCACUGGUUCUGGUUAUAACCAAGAAAAGCUAUGAAGCUAUAUAGUAUUUAAUCUUGUGGUUAAUGCUUAUAUUGCUUCUCAUGCUCUACUGAAAAAUUCUCCUGCAUUUCUCCCAAGAAAUUGCAUUAAAAAGAAUCUGUGGGGAGAUUUGUUAUGUUUUUGUUGCACUUACCUUCAAGGUGGCCUAGAGUUGUUUGUGAGUGUGCUUUAUAUCACUCUACAAAUCAUCUCCCCAGUAGUCUGUGCUCUGCAGCCUUCCUGGGUGCCCUUCCUGACAACGCCAUGACAUCAUCAGCUGGGCUUUUCUUAAGGUGUGGGAAGGUGAGGAGGUUGCCCACUGUGCACCUGACAACUGGUUUUUUUAAAGUGAAGUCUUUGUACUUUUAAAGAAAUCAGUGUGGAAAGGUUAAAAAGGAAAUAUAUCUCUUAGAAAUAAAAUCUGUAAGCACAGCAGUCUCGGGUACUCAGUAAUAGUUUUCCUAGGUUUCCCAUGCUUCAAUUAAAACCCAGAAAUAAGUCAUGAAGUACCGUAUUUUUUGCUCUAUAAGACUCACUUUUUCCCUCCUAAAAAGUAAGGGGAAAUGUGUGUGCUUCUUAUGGAGCAAAUGCAGGCUGUGCAGCUAUCCCAGAAGCCAGAACAGCAAAGGGGAUUGCUACUUUCAUUGCUCAGGGAUCCCUCUUGCUAUUUUGGCUUCUGAAAUUCAAAAUAUUUUUUUUCUUGUUUUCCUCCUCCAAAAACUAGGUGUGUCUUGUGGUCUGGUGCAUCUUAUAGAGCGAAAAAUACGGUAGUUUCUCCCAUGGGGCUCUUUCAGAAGCACAGGCAGCUAGGGAGGCUGCAGAAGCACCGAGAAGUGUUUAUUGGAAUGAAAAGCUCCCAUACCACCCAAGGGUGUCUCAAUUCUACAGCUACCAGAAUUCUGAAGAAGUGUUCAAGUGUCCUGAGAAUGAGGCAGAUAAACCUGCAACCUCUUUCACAGAGGGAGAAAUAGGCAAACAGGUUUUGAUACAGUGCUAGUUCCUUCUAUUGCUUUUAUUCAUCGUUAAGUCCAGGAGUCCUCUAUUUUCUCCUGCAAAAAAACCAGUCACCUGGGCUGUUUUGGAGAGCUCUUAUCAGUCCAGAACGAUGAGUACAGGGCCAGAUUAUACCAGCUCAUUAUAAAGCAGCUCCAUAUGUCUAUAUGUAGGUUGUUUGAAACCAAACAUCACAGCACAUGCUGCUUACAGCUCUUAGUGUCAAGCUAAGCUUGCUGGAUACUUGUCUUGCCAUUUCCAAGGCAAACUGAAUUCUAUGUAGAAUCACUGAGUUGGAAAGGACCUCAAAGGCCAUCCAGGCCAACCCUCUGCCAGUGCAUCCCUCAAGGCUGUCCAGAACUUCCACUCCACACGCUCCACCAUAUGAAAUUGGUUUCUCAUCACAGACAAUCUUUUUUUGCAACCAGUUGCUUCCCAGCCUCCAGCCCACUAAGUACUGGGGAUCCUGCCAUGCAUUUCAACAUCUGUAAACUGCUGGAUGUUCUCGGUGCUCUCUGGAGAUGUGGUAAUAGGGGAGAUGACGUGUUUCAGACGCAGGAGCAUGGUGAAAAGUAGAAUGAGUAGGAUGGCCAGUAGGGUCAGAAACAACCCUACAUACAUAUACAAGUUGGAGUAUUUAUCUGCAUUUGCCACUCCUGUAGCCAGGGUUGGGGGUGGGUGGGCACGACCAGUAAGAUUUCCACGGAAUCUGAAAUAGACCUCAGUCAUUUCUUACUCAGGCCUUUUCCAUUUUCUCUGUUCACUCAUGAAUUCCUUACUUCUUCUUUGAUAGUGUUUUAAAGAUUAGAUUAGGAGGUAAUUCAUGCAUCAAUAUUGGAUGGGCUGAAGUCUUUGCCUUGUAUAGAGGAAUAGUUCUCAUCAGAGGGUCAUCUUCUCACAUGGCUUUGCCUAAGGAAAUGGCAGAAUCAAUCAAAGGUUCCUUCUGGGUGGUGGUUUUUUUCUACUUUUAAAAAAACCUUCCUGGCUGAAAAAUAUUUGUGUUCUCUUCAGUAAGGAAUAAACGUCUCAAUGGAGUUUGGGGGGUAAGGAUCUCCUACCAACAGUGUCACCCAAUGGCUCACAGAUCCAUGAGUUACCUUGCAAAAGUCUGCUUUGGUUACUUUUGGAAGCAGACUCCUGUCUUCACUAGAAGGCAAACAUCAGUGACUAUAUUCAGAAGAACUAGAGUCUGGUGUUUUUCCACUUCCCACCUUCAGAUGACCAAAAUGACAGCAGUACCAGUAGCCAACAUGAUAUUUCUAUAAAGAUAUAAAAAGACAGAGAAAGAGACUAUAUUAUUAAGCAAACUUUCACAUAAUCUUUUUGAUUGUAGAGAAUCUCUUGGUAAUAAAAGGAAAGUUACUGCGCUGCCAAAAUCUGUACUCGCAGUUUCUCAUAAGUUCUCUUCCUCUGCAAAUAAGGCUUCAAUUUAUCUGCUUCAUUCUCACAGUAAUUUUUAAAUUCCUUUAGAACUUCCUUCAGCCUUGGGUUUUGAGCUUUCCUUAUCACUGCAAUGUGGCCAAAGGCUAAAUAUUUGUCCAGUUCUCUGCAGGUUCCCAUGCUGUCCACAGUUCCUGAUCUGAGAAAAAUGUCUAGGAGGAGUUUUCUCAGGGUUUUUUUCCCAUGAGCUUUGACUGAAGCAUGAGCACCCUAGGAAAGCCUGUUUAGUGCAGACAAAAGGAGGGAUGAUUUGCAGAAUGAAAGGGUUGCAUCCAACCAAGUUCUCAGAGUAGGCCUGCUGAAUUUAAUGUCCUUAAUUUAGCAGUUUCCAUUAACUUCAAUGGUCUACUCAACCCAAAUUAAUGGCACUUGCAUGCACCUCUCAGCCACCUCAGCAAUAACAGAAGCACACCCAAAACCCUAUACCCAGUCCAUUAAAAUUUUACUGAUUCCCACCCCCACCCUGUUGGAUGCAAUUUCUUCUCCCAUUAAUUGGUGGAAGAUCAGGGGCAAGGUUUAUUGUUCACUUUUUCUUUUAAAGGUAAAGGGACCCCUGACCAUUAGGUCCAGUCGUGGCUGACUCUGGGGUUGCGGCGCUCAUCUCGUUUUAUCGGCCGAGGGAGCUGGCGUUCUGGGUCAUGUGGCCAGCAUGACAAAGCCUCUUCUGGCGAACCAGAGCAGCGCACGGAAACGCUGUUUACCUUCCCGCCGGAGCGGUACCUAUUUAUCUACUUGCACUUUGACAUGCUUUCGAACUGCUAGGUUGGCAGGAGCAGGGACCGAGCAACGGGAGCUCACCCUGUCGCAGGGAUUCGAACCACCGACCUUCUGAUCGGCAAGUCCUAGGCUCUGUGGUUUAACCCACAGCGCCACCUGCAUCCCUCUUUUUCUUUUGCACUGCACUAAUUAAAAGAUAUAGGUUGGCUGGCCAGAUUCCAGUUCACACUUGAAAAUGAGCACAUGUAGGAGGGAUGGGAUCACACCCAUUGUCCUUGCUCUUGCACUCUUAUGUGUAUUCAUCACACAUAUAAACUGUUCUGUGUGUAGGCUCCAUACAAAUGGUCUAUUCCCCCUGUCAUACCGACGGAACCCAUGGAUGUACAAUCUGUACAUGUAUAAGCUUUCCCAGAUGUUUUUAUGAAUGUCUGUCGGAAGCAGGAGCAAAGAUGUGCUACCGAGGAGUUCAGCCUUGCCAUCGUUUUAAAAAUGCUCUUGAAGGUUAAGCCCAGACUUGGGACACAAAGAACAAAGUUAUAGUUUGAACUUGUGACCCUCCUUAGCGCAUAAACCAGGAGUAAGUCUUGGCAGUAAUACAUGAGAACUCCUGUACGUAAUAGUACUUUGAUUAUUUGCCUGGUCUAAGUCAUCCAAAGCACAAUCUUAAUUACCUAAUCUAGCCCUGCCAGAGAAAACUCCAUUUGCCUUAUUUAACACACUGUUAAACACAUUCUAUACGCACGGAGUCAGCCAUCAGCAUCCUUAAGCAUUCUUCAAGGUGUGGCUCCUACAGCUCAGGUAGAGAGUACUAUGCUGUGUCUACUCUCUGAGAUCUAGCAGUGUACUAGAUAUCUAAGGACUUGCAUAGAUAAUUGAAUUACUGUCUAGCACAUGCACGUUAAAAUGGCAUAAAUAAGUGUACCCAUUUAAAUAUGGUGAUCAGACAUCACACAGAAGUUAAGUAGAGAUAGCAAACGGGCUCUGCAACAAAAGUUUGUAGUAUUGCUCCCUAACAGGAGCGUGCUUGAGUCCUUUUCAGAGUUGCAGCCAGCCAUGCCUUUCUCCAUCAUACCCCAACUGUGAUGGGCUCAAGCCAGCUCAUUCACAUUCCUCUACACCUUAGCUGCCACUGAAAAUGGUUAGUUGACAUUAGGUGGUUGUUGUUGUUGUUUUUUCAGUACUUCUGCAAACUUCAAGGUUCCCUUGAGCAUCCUGGUGUCUCCCUCUUGUUUCUCCUUACUAGCAAAGGGGUACCGAGUUUACUAUUGGAGGAAGCAAUUGGAUCCUAUUGAAUAUCAUGACAUGGGUUGCAAUAUGGAGAGGUUAAAUGUGAUUGCAAGGUUCAGGUGUUUUUGUACAUUAUAAGCACAUAUAUCAAUAGAGUAAGUAAGGUAAAUACAUUGGUAAGCAUAGGUAAGAGCCAGUGUGAUGUACUGGUUAAAGGGUUAAACUAGGGCCAGGGUUCAAAUUUCCACUUAGCCAUGAAACUCACUGGGUGAUCUUGGGCCAGCCACUGCCUCUCAGACUCACCUACCUCACAGGGUUGGUGUGGGAAUUAAAUGGGGGGGGGAGAGAACCACCUUGAGCUCUUUGGAGAAAAAGGUGGCAUAUAAAUGCAAUUAAUAAAAAAAAGAAAUUAGAGGAACUAAGAUGAGAGGGAGGGGAUGAGUUUGGAAUGCUGAUAGUGAGCAGUGAUUGGUUGGGAGUUUUGAAAGGGAGUUUGAAUACUAGUCUGAGAGGGUUUGGAGUCGAGUUGAGAGUUGAGUUGACAACGGAGUUGCAUUUGGGGGUGGGUGGUAGACUGUGUGAGAGUUGGUGGCGGAUGUGAAGCAGGGUUAGUCAUCUAAUAUAGUAUCAGUAUUAUAGUAGCUACUGUUGUAUAUAAAAUAAAGCAACAAAUAAGAUAAACAGAUUGAAACUAUGUGCUUAGGUACAAUCCUCAAUCGCACAGCCAUUGUUUAUGAUUCCUCUUCCAUAAAUUAAUUGCUUUAUACCACAUGCCUCAUACUUUGCUAACAUUAGGGGAAUUAUUAUUAUUAUUAUUAUUAUACCCCACCCACUUAUUCAGAUAAAUAUAAUUUGGGGUGGAAGCAGGUUAUAGAGUUACCCAUAAGAAACACAGCUCAGAGCCAUACGUCUUGUUAAGAGCGAGAAGUGGUACAGGGUAGUUUUGGGUGGUGGCAGAGCACCCCCUGGCAGAGGAGGGUGUGUGGCAUGACAGUGGUGACAGCCACCUCUCUUGUCUUCUGCAGCUCUUUCUGCUGUAAAAGGCAGAGUUCACAUCAAAUCCUAACAGACCAUUUUUGGUAAUGAAAUAAUAUGCGUCACAGAUGUUACUUCUGAAAAUUAGGUGGCAUUAUGCUAAAGUUAUUAACCUGAAGUUCAUGUGUAAUAAUCAAUUACGAAACAAGAGCCCCAAAUUAAUGAGCCUCUACAAGGCACUUCUAAUAAAUGGAAGAGAUUAAGGAGUGGAGAUAAUUCAAUGAGGCUGGGAGUUUAGCAUGGAUGCCUGUGGUUCGUUUUAUGCUCCAGUCUUAAGAGUAGUUGCUCAGUUCCUUGCAAGGGAAGAAUCUGAUUUGCUCACAAAACUAUGUGUGUGCAUGGACUUCCUGCCUUGUCUUCUGUGUCAGGGAAUGCUCUGUGAUGAGGGCAAGAGGGAAUCUUCAUGCAGAACACCUCCUGACUUGUAGAAGAUUAUAAGGAAUGCCACAGGGGAGGCUUUGCACAUACGGAUCAAAUAAAUUAUGGGGGAGUCAAAUCGAUUUGAAUGAAUAGACCCAGCUGAAAAGUCUGUGCAUGCUUCCUUGCACAAGGGCUUCCUUGUUUUCUUUUGCCGAAGAGCCCAUUUCUUUGCGUACAAUAGAGUUUCUUUUUGUGAACAGUAAAGUUCUUGUAGGGAGCAUGGUAGGGCUACAGAUAAACCCACGCUGCAAAUGUUCUUUUCUGCAGAGGAAUCAACUAGAUCAGAAGGGCCAGGGACAGAAUUCAUAAGGGUGCUGGAUCCAUCUGUUAAGAGUUUGGGUGUAAUCCUUGACGCUUCCCUUUCCAUGGAGGCACAGGUUACAGCAAGAGCUAAGGCGACAUGUUUCCAUCUUUGCCGCAUCAAGCAGUUGGUCCCUUAGCUUUCCCGCCCCGACCUGGCCACAGUGAUCCAUGCGACGGUCACCUCCAGGCUUGCCUACUGUAAUUCGCUCUACGUGGGGCUGCCCUUGAAACUGUCCCAGAAACUCCAGCGGGUGCAGAAUGCUGCAGCGAGGCUCCUCACAGGGUCUCUGCCAUGGGAGCAUAUUCACCCAGUGCUUUUCCAGCUGCACUGGCUCCCGGUGGAGUAUAGGGUCAGGUUCAAGGUGCUGGUCUUGACCUUUAAAGCCCUUUGUGGCUUAGGGCCCUCAUAUUUACGGGGCCACCUCUCCUGGUAUGCCCCGCAGAGGACCUUAAGGUCCAUGAAUAACCAUAAUUUAGAGGUCCUGGGCCCUAAGGAAGUCAGACUAUCCUCCACCAGGGCCAGGGCCUUUUCAGUGAUGGCUCCGACCUGGUGGAAUGCUCUGUCCCAUGAGACUAGGGCCCUUCAGGAUUUAACCUCCUUCCGUCGGGCCUGUAAGACAGAGCUAUUCCGCCCAGCCUUUAAUUUGAACUCAGCCUGAUCUUUUAUUUCCCUUCUCUUCCCUCCCGCUCCCCUUUUAUGAAGAUUACCCGCUCUGAGACCCCACAGCUAAUUCUCCCCUGGCCUCCUCACUGGCCCAAGUAGGACCAAUUCAGCCAGCUAGCCCUGGGGAUGAUCUAAUGCUUAUUUCCCCUAAACUGAUUUCUAAAUUUUUAAUUUUAUUGUUAUUCAUGUUUUUAUACUGUAUUUUAUACUGCUUUUACAAUUAAGUGUUUUAAAUUUGUUGUUAGGGGCCCUGAGCCCAGUUUUUGAACCGGGAAGGGUGGGGUAUAAAUAAAAAAAUUAUUAUUAUUAUUAUCCAGACCCUGUCACCAAUCCUGAGCCAGAGGCAGAGUCUGUUAACCAGAAGUGCCUUGACCCACAGACACUCGCCUUGGAACCCCCCUGAGCCAGAUCUCCCAAGGACAGUAUAGCCAAAUGUCCUACUUUGCAUGAGGAGUGAGGAGUCCAAGUGUUGUUGGACUCCAAGUCCCAUCAUGCUUGACCAUUGGUCAUUCUGGGGCUGAUGGGAGUAUUUAUUUAUUUAUUUAUUUACUUAUUGUUUCCGUUUAUAGACCAUUUGCUACCAGAAGAUCUUGAAGUAGUUUAUGGUGAAUAAAACACACACACAUUCUAGCAGUCCCAGUGUUGAACUCGGAAGAGAUCCAGGUUCAGAUCCUCACUCAGUUAUGAAUCUCACUGGGUAACCUUGGGCCAGCGACCUUCUCUCAGUUUAAUUAACCUCAUGGGCUUGUGAGGAUAAAAGAGGAAGAACCAUGAAUACUACUACAACAUGACACCUUUAUCCCAUAUUCGAAGAUUUGUAGAUCUUUCCGCAAAAGUACUCCUCAGUUAAGCAACUCACUGGAUGCCUAACUCUAUAGUGAGAAUGCAGAACCUGCAACCCUCCAGCUGUUGCUAGAUUCCAACUCCCAUCAUCCCCAAAUGUUGGCCACACUGGCUGGGGCUGAAGGGAGUUGGAGGCUUCCUUCAACAUCUUCUGGAGGGUGGCAGGUUGUCCACAACUCUAAAAAGCUUUAAAAGAUCACAAUUUCCUGUGCUCCUGAGCUAAUUGCCCCUAAGUGCCCCUACAUACAAAUGAAGAGGGGAGAUAUGAUUCCUGCAUUGCAGGGUGCUGUACUAGAUAACCCUUGGAGUCCCUUCCAACUCUACAAUUCAAUUUAUUUAUCCACAGCUCUAGAGAUUGAAUAACAAGACUCUUCUUGUUAGCUAAGCAACUGCAGUAAACAUCUUUCUUGCGGUUACAAACAAGUCAGCCUAUCCUGUCUUAUUUUCACCAAGCACAAACAAAUUAACCAUCUUUUUAAAAGGAUCACUUUUAGCAUUUUAGGUUAUCUCAGAUUGGGAUGAUUUUUAGAGUGGACAGCAUAGUAUUAUUGUGAAUAUUUGUGGGGCUAGAAAUUAAGUCGGUACUGCUUGCAGAAAAAGUUAGUCAAAACACUCUGCUGCUGUAGCAUUUAGUGCGUUUUUGAAGGCCGCCUGUUCCCAAAACAAGCUGUCUGGGCUUAAUCUGACUAGUGAAAUCAAUACUUUUGCUUAGCUCAUUUGUAGCACACAUAAUCUCUUUACUUCCCCCUGAAAAAGCACAGACACCAAGAAAAUUGAUACCUUAAUGCAUGCUUUUUAAAAGAAAAAGAAAAGGCACCAUCAAUUGGAAGUACUAGCUUUCCUUUUUUGGUGGCAGAUAGUCUAUUUUCUCCUUUCAUAUCAAAUGCAUAAAAUAGCACAUUCUUCUAACUAAGCCUUGGCACAGAGAUAAAAACAGUUGGAUUUUGACAAGUGCAGCCAAUUACCUUUCAUCGUAAGCAGGAGCAGAGGAGUGACCCCUCAAGACACCUCCUUGGUAGGUGUACCCUAGACUGCUUUCUGCAAGGUGUCCUGGAAGCAUCCCCUCUAAGAUGCAGGUGCUUUGGAAGAAAAAGAGACCAGCUGUUGUUUUGUCGCUUGAGCUGGAAGACUAGGCUUUCCAAGGAGAAAGUACACUUUCCUCUCGUCUCUUUUACACGCCAGGGUUUUGCAUUGCGACAGGCAGAGGGGCGCUGCUUAAUUCCUUAGACACUAGUUGAUGGUCCUGCUCUCACUGUGCUGCUGAUGGUUUUCCUGCACGGAUGAGACAGAUCCAUAUAUCUUCUGGAUGGCUGAACCACAGCAGCCUCCGUCAACCGUCUCUCUCGCUCUCGCUCUCCUCCUUUUGCUUCUAUAGGCAACAGACACAGUAAGCUGGGAAAGGUAUCUCUCCAAGCGCAGCUAUGCUUCAUCAGUAGGGAGAGAGAGAGGUGGAAAAAAAAGAAAGCUGCCAACAACACCAGUAGCAAAGUUUCUAUAAGCCUUUUUUAAUUCCUUCCAUGCUGCAGGCUGGUCCUUUUCCCUCUAGGCAACCAGCCACAAAGCAGAGGCUUAGAUUUGAAGGCAAUGAUCACUCCCUCAUUAUGAUUUCUUUUAUAAAAACAAAACAAAAAAGAGGUUUUAAAAAAACAUUUUGUAGGAUUGAAAGCAUUCUUUUUAAAUAUAUAGUCAAACAAGGCAUGCAAAUCAAGAUGUUUUUCAGGGUUCCACCCCCACCCCCCAGGGCUUUGAAAACCUUCAAAAUAAAGUAAGUGCAAUACAUCACAGCCAAUGAUAUUCGUGCCAUAUAACUUGCAAGUUUCCUCCCCUUCUGUUUGUAUGCAGACACAUUUGACAGAAUGAAAUCCUGGUUGCUUUCAGGUGUAGAGCCAUUUUCAGCUUCGGGGUUCCCAGUUCGCUGCUAUAGCAUGCAACUGGGUCAAUAGGAAACACCCUGGGGAAACAUUAACAGACCAAAAAUGCCCACUACAUGUAGACACCUAACUGGACACAACCCAUUGGCCUGGUUUUGGGGAGGGGAGUUCAGAAAAGACUGGCCCAAGGUAUUUUGCUGCAUGAGAGAAGGGGAAACAAGUAGGGCAUGGUGGCUCUGGGAGUUGGCAACGGACCCUGGCAGGACCCUCUGCAGGAGCCCAAUGAUGCUGACCAUCAAUUGGAGGAUGCAGGAGACAGACAAGGAGAGGAAGGGAGGAAUUAUCCUUGAAUGUUCUGAAAUGACAUUACAUAUACAUGCAGAUGGGUUACUAUGGGAAAUGAAAAAUCCAAGGAUUGCAUUUGAUAAAAGGCCAUAGCUCAGAGGCCAGAGCAUCUGCUCUGCAUGCAGAAAGACCCUGCUGUCAUUCACUAUGGACAAUACAGGGCUAGGCAGACCAAGAGUCUGACUCCAUUUGUUCCUAUGAAAUACAACAUGGUAUCCCCUCCCAUUCUAUGUGCAAAAUCGAACCAGACUGGCACUAGAAUCUUAUUUCAACACUGGCAAAAUGUGAUAAUGAUAUCCUACAUCACAACUGAGCGCAGCAGGCUAGCGGUAGCUUAGGGGACUCAGGAAGAAUGGUUAGGGGCUGCUGCCACUUCUAGCAUCUAUUGCCUGAGGUAGGUGCCUCAUCUUGCCUAAGAGUAGGACCAGACCUGCUUUCAGAAGUAAGUGACUGGUACAGGCUCAGCCCAAACGUCCUGCAGAGAGCAGGCACACCAAAGCACUGUGUGAUGUCCUACGUAAGAGACUCGUUGCUCCCAGUUUUAUUGGGAACUAGUUGAGAUUUGGGUGGUAUCAUGAUGCCUGAGGUAUUCUUGUUAACAUGC
Molecule: non-coding RNA, 10663 nt
Organism: Podarcis lilfordi (Lilford's wall lizard)
Lineage: Eukaryota; Metazoa; Chordata; Lepidosauria; Squamata; Lacertidae
Source: the annotation of a GenBank genome assembly